This 512-nucleotide ribosomal RNA is filed under the name Bacillus cereus. RNAcentral describes it as "bacterial SSU rRNA". It matches the Rfam family "Bacterial small subunit ribosomal RNA", at positions 39 to 525 of the family's 1533-position model. Lineage: Bacteria; Bacillati; Bacillota; Bacilli; Caryophanales; Bacillaceae. The record is from RNAcentral.
UCGCCGCUGCGGCGUGCCUAAUACAUGCAAGUCGAGCGGACAGAUGGGAGCUUGCUCCCUGAUGUUAGCGGCGGACGGGUGAGUAACACGUGGGUAACCUGCCUGUAAGACUGGGAUAACUCCGGGAAACCGGGGCUAAUACCGGAUGGUUGUUUGAACCGCAUGGUUCAAACAUAAAAGGUGGCUUCGGCUACCACUUACAGAUGGACCCGCGGCGCAUUAGCUAGUUGGUGAGGUAAUGGCUCACCAAGGCAACGAUGCGUAGCCGACCUGAGAGGGUGAUCGGCCACACUGGGACUGAGACACGGCCCAGACUCCUACGGGAGGCAGCAGUAGGGAAUCUUCCGCAAUGGACGAAAGUCUGACGGAGCAACGCCGCGUGAGUGAUGAAGGUUUUCGGAUCGUAAAGCUCUGUUGUUAGGGAAGAACAAGUACCGUUCGAAUAGGGCGGUACCUUGACGGUACCUAACCAGAAAGCCACGGCUAACUACGUGCCAGCAGCCGCGGUAAUA